RNAcentral lists this ribosomal RNA (644 nucleotides) under uncultured Campylobacterota bacterium. RNAcentral describes it as "uncultured Epsilonproteobacteria bacterium partial 16S ribosomal RNA". Lineage: Bacteria; Pseudomonadati; Campylobacterota. The record is from RNAcentral.
UGUUACCUUGUUACGACUUCACCCUAGUCGCUAAUUCCACUGUGGAAGGUAGCUAUCUUAGCAUCCCCGCUUCGAAUGAAAUCAACUCCCAUGGUGUGACGGGCGGUGAGUACAAGACCCGGGAACGUAUUCACCGUAGCAUUGCUGAUCUACGAUUACUAGCGAUUCCAACUUCAUGUUUUCGAGUUGCAGAGAACAAUCCGAACUGGGAGGCAUUUUAUGAGAUUUGCUCCACCUCGCGGUAUCGCUGCUCUUUGUAUGCCCCAUUGUAGCACGUGUGUAGCCCUGGCCGUAAGGGCCAUGAUGACUUGACGUCGUCCUCACCUUCCUCCUCCUUGCGAAGGCAGUCUGAUUAGAGUCCCCACCCGAAGUGCUGGUAACUAAUCACGAGGGUUGCGCUCGUUGCGGGACUUAACCCAACAUCUCACGACACGAGCUGACGACAGCCGUGCAGCACCUGUUUUCAAGUUCUAGUAAACUAGCACUCUCUCAUCUCUGAAAGAUUCUAUCAAUGUCAAGGCCAGGUAAGGUUCUUCGCGUAUCGUCGAAUUAAACCACAUGCUCCACCGCUUGUGCGGGUCCCCGUCUAUUCCUUUGAGUUUUAAUCUUGCGACCGUACUCCCCAGGCGGUACACUUAAUGUGU